RNAcentral lists this transfer RNA (75 nucleotides) under bacterium. Its description in RNAcentral is "tRNA-Gly". It matches the Rfam family "tRNA". Rfam says of the family: Transfer RNA (tRNA) molecules are approximately 80 nucleotides in length. The record is from RNAcentral.
GCGGGCGUAGCUCAGUGGUAGAGCGUCAGCUCCCCGGGCUGAAGGUCGCGGGUCCGAAUCCCGUCGCCCGCUCCA